CUGCAGGCGCUGUCGGGAGCCUGGAGACAGCUCCCGCUGCUCGUCCUCCUCCACCGCGGGGCUGCCGUCCCGGUACCGCGGGAACCACAGCGCCAUCCUGGCAGCGGGAAGCGCCGAUCGCCUCCCUCGGCCGUUCGAUUGCUCACCGGAAGCGAGGCCGUACACCACUUCCGGCAAUAGCUAGCGGGCGGCCGCGAUACCGCCGCUCAGCGCCCGCCCCCGCGGUCGGCGGGCGGGGCUUUCCGCAAGGCGCGCGGCGCUGCGCCGCGCCGCACCGGCGGACGUUUGCCCGGCAGAGGCGCGCGGGACGGCCUCGAGGGUCAGCUGUUGGUUACCCCGCGGAGUGCCACGCAUCUGCUCUCGUGGUGCCCCGUCGUUGGGGGGGAGUGAGAAAGAGAAAGGCAGAGCAGAGAGCGCGCAACGCGGUCGCCGUGGCAACGCGGUUGAGUGGGCGUUUCGCUGAGCGUCGCCGUCAGAGGUAGUCGGCGAGCUCACGUCCACAUGGCGAAGCCGGCUUACCGUGCCCGAUCCGGAGCCCCGCGGUGCCCCCCGGUUAAGCCACAGUGAAUGGGGACCCACCAGAAUGCCUUGACAUCACAAUAAGGUGUGCCUCACAAUGCCUGGGUGAGCUCUGAAGCCUACAUGGCACCUGUGG
This 655-nucleotide long non-coding RNA is filed under the name Gallus gallus (chicken). Its description in RNAcentral is "long non-coding RNA NONGGAT011790". Lineage: Eukaryota; Metazoa; Chordata; Aves; Galliformes; Phasianidae. The record is from RNAcentral.